GACGAACGCUGGCGGCGUGCCUAAUACAUGCAAGUUGAGCGCUGAAGGUUGGUACUUGUACCAACUGGAUGAGCAGCGAACGGGUGAGUAACGCGUGGGGAAUCUGCCUUUGAGCGGGGGACAACAUUUGGAAACGAAUGCUAAUACCGCAUAAAAACUUUAAACACAAGUUUUAAGUCUGAAAGAUGCAAUUGCAUCACUCAAAGAUGAUCCCGCGUUGUAUUAGCUAGUUGGUGAGGUAAAGGCUCACCAAGGCGAUGAUACAUAGCCGACCUGAGAGGGUGAUCGGCCACAUUGGGACUGAGACACGGCCCAAACUCCUACGGGAGGCAGCAGUAGGGAAUCUUCGGCAAUGGACGAAAGUCUGACCGAGCAACGCCGCGUGAGUGAAGAAGGGUUUCGGAUCGUAAAACUCUGUUGGUAGAGAAGAACGUUGGUGAGAGUGGAAAGCUCAUCAAGUGACGGUAACUACCCAGAAAGGGACGGCUAACUACGUG
Molecule: ribosomal RNA, 497 nt
Filed under: uncultured bacterium
Lineage: Bacteria
Description: partial 16S ribosomal RNA
Rfam family: Bacterial small subunit ribosomal RNA
Source: RNAcentral